CCACCAGCCAGCCUUUUCCUCUUGCAAGUUCCCUCUCUCUCACUAGAGAGAGAGAGCUGUUUUUCUUUCUCUUUCUUUUGUCUAUUAAACCCCUGCUCCUAAACUCGUGUGUGUCCGUGUCCUAAACUCUCCUGGCACCAGAAGAACCCUGAUUAUUUACCCAGACAACUGUAGCUGCUUCAAAGAACUACCUACAGAAUCAACUGGGAACAGAGCCACACCCUUUUUUCCCCCAAACACAAAACCUUUGAUUCUUUUCAGAAUAAAAUUUGGCAAAGCAAAGAGUGAAAAAGCUUGAGAAAAGCACAGCCAAUCUAGUUUAAGUGCAAAUAGAAUCAAAAGUUCCUGAUAUAGAAUAAGCAAAUGAUGGAAGAAGCCAAGUUUCCUGAGUGGCCACUAGGAAAACUCUGUCUUCUUUAUCAAAACUAUGAGGUUCCUGACCCUUGGAGAUGAGAGUAUAAUUAAAACUGCAAUUAGCAAGUAGAUAAUCAGGAGCGGUGAAAAUACAAAAGAAGAAACUGAGAAGAGCUAUUAUGUUAAAUCAGAAUCUAAAUAUAGUUUUCUGUAGUCUAAAAAUAAAGGAAGCAUUCUAUUAAUU
RNAcentral lists this long non-coding RNA (598 nucleotides) under Homo sapiens (human). Its description in RNAcentral is "HSALNT0250528". The record is from RNAcentral. Lineage: Eukaryota; Metazoa; Chordata; Mammalia; Primates; Hominidae.